Molecule: ribosomal RNA, 559 nt
Filed under: Metarhizium anisopliae
Lineage: Eukaryota; Fungi; Ascomycota; Sordariomycetes; Hypocreales; Clavicipitaceae
Description: eukaryotic LSU rRNA
Rfam family: 5.8S ribosomal RNA (bases 168-321)
Source: RNAcentral
UCCGUAGGUGAACCUGCGGAGGGAUCAUUACCGAGUUAUCCAACUCCCAACCCCUGUGAAUUAUACCUUUAAUUGAUGCUUCGGCGGGACUUCGCGCCCGCCGGGGACCCAAACCUUCUGAAUUUUUUAAUAAGUAUCUUCUGAGUGGUUAAAAAAAAAUGAAUCAAAACUUUCAACAACGGAUCUCUUGGUUCUGGCAUCGAUGAAGAACGCAGCGAAAUGCGAUAAGUAAUGUGAAUUGCAGAAUUCAGUGAAUCAUCGAAUCUUUGAACGCACAUUGCGCCCGUCAGUAUUCUGGCGGGCAUGCCUGUUCGAGCGUCAUUACGCCCCUCAAGUCCCCUGCGGACUUGGUGUUGGGGAUCGGCGAGGCUGGUUUUCCAGCACAGCCGUCCCUUAAAUUAAUUGGCGGUCUCGCCGUGGCCCUCCUCUGCGCAGUAGUAAAGCACUCGCAACAGGAGCCCGGCGCGGUCCACUGCCGUAAAACCCCCCAACUUUUUAUAGUUGACCUCGAAUCAGGUAGGACUACCCGCUGAACUUAAGCAUAUCAAUAAGCGGAGGA